Molecule: transfer RNA, 74 nt
Filed under: Ruminiclostridium sp.
Lineage: Bacteria; Bacillati; Bacillota; Clostridia; Eubacteriales; Oscillospiraceae
Also listed under: 1 other name
Description: tRNA-Gly
Rfam family: tRNA
About the family: Transfer RNA (tRNA) molecules are approximately 80 nucleotides in length.
Source: RNAcentral
GCGGAUAUAGUUUAUCGGUAGAACAUCGGCUUCCCAAGCCGAGAAGGCGGGUUCGAUUCCCGUUGUCCGCUCCA